Branchiostoma floridae (Florida lancelet) is the source of this 80-nucleotide non-coding RNA. Lineage: Eukaryota; Metazoa; Chordata; Leptocardii; Amphioxiformes; Branchiostomatidae. The record is from Rfam.
GCCUGUUGGAAAGCAGCGAGCAUUACGGUCAUUCUGACGCUGGAGAAUAUGACAGUAAUGCCCGCUGACUUCUAAUGGAG